AGCGCAGCGCCCGCCGCCCCUCGCCGCGGCCCGUCCCGCCUGCGCUGGCGUUGCUCUCGUUCCUGCCGCGGUGGCAGCCCGGGGGGCAGUCGGAGGACGGCGUAAAGCCGGAGGGGAAGGGUCCAGAGCUGCCGUGCUUGUUAUCUAAUUGAACAUUCAAAGUAAAUAUGAGCUCUAUAAGCUUUCAAAACCAAAUGAAUCUGUGAAAACAAGGAGUGACCAAAGGAGAAGUAAGGGACAGGGAAUAAAAUGAAAAGGUUUGCCUUUAAAAAUCAGCUUGUUCACUCCAAGGACUGCAGAGAUGAGCGCAUCUUCACUACAGCAACAUGGGGGUGAGUCACUGGUUUCAAUGCAAAACGCAGCUCGGGGGCUGCAGCGAGAGCUCGGCGGUGACUUACAUCCAGCACACACCUGCCCCCAAACGAGCCUCAGCAGAGCAGCUGGGAUGAGCUUCAGGACCCAGCGACGGUUUGGGGAUCAGGAGACAUGGGUUCCCAUCCGAGCACGCUCAGAGGUCCUCCGUAAGGGGCACUUUGAAGACAACCUGGAUCAAAUCCCAACAUACUUUGGGGAGGACAAACGUAGACCUUUCUUUACUUAGCUCUGUGUUGGGCAAUCUCAAAACCAUAUAGGCACUAAUCUAUUCGUUAUUCCGUCUCCUCCUCUUUACUACAAUAAAGCACUGUUUUAUGCUUAUAUGCAUCAAUAAAGAGACCUAUAAAGAAAAUAAUGAACACCCUUUAAUAUCCUCAGAGUAUACCCUAUUAAUUUUAAAAGGGACACAACAUACUGUAUCCCUUGUAUUUCACCAGGAUAAAAGCCUAUAGAUUAAUUCCUGUUAAAACAGUUGGUAUUUUCAGGACAUGCAGAUGUAAUUUAUGGAGAGGCACAAUACUCAUAAUAGCUCAAAGGCCACAGAAACUGUAGAUCUGUGUCUGUUACUGUAGUUGUACAGGCAUUCAUUGUACAGAGAGCAGUUGAAAAGGCAGCGUAUGUAAUCUGAAUACUAAAUUUGUGAAUAGUUUCUCACUUGGGCUGGUUAGGCUUUUCAAGAGCAGCGGAUGCUUUGUGGGGGACUUUGUAAAACAUUCUGCUAAUAUAUCACACAAUGUUGCUGUAUUUUCUUCUCUUAUCUUUACUGUUAGAGCUUUAUUCAUGAAGACGCAAUAUUUGAUUCUUAAAAGGGCACCAGCACCUGAAUUCAGUGUGUUCCAUGAGAGACAAUUUUCACAAUAAAUACUUUUUCCUUCUUCUGUAAAGUGGACAACUUUAGGUAUAUAUAGCCCAAAAGUGUACAAGAAACAAAGAUCCUUGUCCUCACCCCUGUGUAUUCCAAUUGCUAUAUCCAACUUACUUGAAAAAUAGUAUUAUAUUUUCUGGUUUAUUAUCAAUAAUAAAAGU
Athene cunicularia (burrowing owl) is the source of this 1401-nucleotide long non-coding RNA. RefSeq lists it as uncharacterized. The record is from RefSeq and is a predicted model, not a curated record. The transcript is spliced from 3 exons. NCBI's taxonomy places the organism in Eukaryota, Metazoa, Chordata, Aves, Strigiformes, Strigidae.